CAGGUUCCGUGGUGCCUUGCGCGGUCCUGGGCUGAGCUCCUCCAGAGGGAGGUCAGAGCGAGGGGAGCUCGGCUGGGUUGUGAGCGCUGUGCCCCGGCCUGGCCUGGGGAAGAGGGAAGGACAUGAGCGUACGGCCUGAGUGUGGAGAGGAGCGCACUUUGACACCCCCGGGGACACCAUGACCUCCAAGGGUAAGAAAUGGGACUUCAAUGCCGCAGCCAAUGACUAUGAUCAGAUGCGGCAGCCAAAUGCGGGCGGCCCAGCGCAAAACUUUAACGACCCUCGAAGUUACAAACCCCCGGACACUAUACGAUCCAUGAGACCCGCGCUGCAGCGGCAAGAUGAUAUACAAG
Nanorana parkeri is the source of this 353-nucleotide long non-coding RNA. RefSeq lists it as uncharacterized. The record is from RefSeq and is a predicted model, not a curated record. The transcript is spliced from 2 exons. NCBI's taxonomy places the organism in Eukaryota, Metazoa, Chordata, Amphibia, Anura, Dicroglossidae.